GGAUUAGGCAUGCAAGUCGCGCGAGAAAUUUCCUUCGGGGAAUGGACAGCGGCGGAAGGGAGAGGAAUAAUUAAAAAUCUGCCCUCGGGACGGGGAUAGCGGUGGGAAACUGCCGGUAAUACCCGAUAACAUCUUCGGAUCAAAUGGUGUGAUUCCGCCUGGGGAUGAGUCUACUUCCUAUUAGCUAGUUGGUGGGGUAAUGGCCUACCAAGGCAACGAUGGAUAGCGGGUGUGAGAGCACGACCCGCCUCACUGGGAGUGAGACACUGCCCAGACACAUACGGGUGGCUGCAGUCGAGAAUCUUCGGCAAUGGGGGAAACCCUGACCGACCGACGCCGCGUGCGGGAUGAAGGCCCUUGGUUUGUAAACCGCUGUCGUAAGGGAACAAAUCUAGGGGGGUACUCCCCCUUAGUUGAGUGAUCUUAGGAGGAAGGACGGGCUAAGUUCGUGCCAGCAGCCGCGGUAAGACGAACCGUCCGAACGUUAUUCGGUAUCACUGGGCUUAAAGAGUUCGUAGGCGGCCCGACAGGUCAGGUGUGAAAUCCCUCGGCUCAACCGAGGAACUGCGCUUGAAACCGUCAGGCUUGAGGGAGAUAGAGGUGAGCGGAACAGAUGGUGGAGCGGUGAAAUGCGUUGAUAUCAUCUGGAACACCGGUGGCGAAAGCGGCUCUCUGGAUCUUUUCUGACGCUGAGGAACGAAAGCUAGGGUAGCGAACGGGAUUAGAUACCCCGGUAGUCCUAGCUGUAAACGAUGAGCACUAGUCUGUGGGGACCCUCACAUCCUCUCGGACGUAGCGAAAGUGUUAAGUGCUCCG
RNAcentral lists this ribosomal RNA (816 nucleotides) under uncultured Planctomycetota bacterium. RNAcentral's name for it is "bacterial SSU rRNA". It matches the Rfam family "Bacterial small subunit ribosomal RNA", at positions 46 to 871 of the family's 1533-position model. The record is from RNAcentral. Lineage: Bacteria; Pseudomonadati; Planctomycetota.